This 254-nucleotide ribosomal RNA is filed under the name uncultured bacterium. Its description in RNAcentral is "partial 16S ribosomal RNA". It matches the Rfam family "Bacterial small subunit ribosomal RNA", at positions 524 to 776 of the family's 1533-position model. The record is from RNAcentral.
UACGGGGGGAGCAAGCGUUGUUCGGAUUUACUGGGCGUAAAGGGCGCGUAGGCGGCCACUGCAAGUCAGUUGUGAAAUCUCCGGGCUUAACCCGGAAAGGUCAACUGAUACUGCAGGGCUAGAGUGCAGAAGGGGCAACUGGAAUUCUCGGUGUAGCGGUGAAAUGCGUAGAUAUCGAGAGGAACACCUGCGGCGAAGGCGGGUUGCUGGGCUGACACUGACGCUGAUGUGCGAAAGCCAGGGGAGCGAACAGG